RNAcentral lists this long non-coding RNA (1932 nucleotides) under Pelobates cultripes (western spadefoot toad). Lineage: Eukaryota; Metazoa; Chordata; Amphibia; Anura; Pelobatidae. The record is from RNAcentral.
CCAAUUUAAAAUGGUAGUGAACUAGGGAUUACCAGACAUGAGAAGGAUUUGGGAAUUAUUAUAGACAACAAAUUAGGCAGCAAUAUGCAAUGUCAAUCUGCAUUUGCUAAGGCCAGUAACAUUUUGUCAUGUAUAAACAGGGGCAUAAAUUCUCGGGGUGAAAAUAUAAUUUUGACUCUUUAUAAAUCGCUAGUAAGACCACACCUUGAAUAUGCUGUGCAAUUUUGGGCACAUGUUCUAAAGAAAGAUAUCAUGGCACUAGAAAAAGUGCAGAGACGAGCUACAAAAUUGAUAAAAGGAAUGGAGCAUUUUAGUUACGAAGAAAGGUUAAAAAAAUUAAAUCUGUUUAGUUUGAUAAAAAGGCACCUGAGAGGGGAUAUGAUAACAUUAUACAAAUAUAUUCGGGGCCAGUACAAACCUUUAUCUGAAAAUCUAUUGAUAAACAGGGCUAUACAAAGGACACGAGGUCACCUUUAGCCUGGGAGAAAGGAGAUUUCAUCUAAGGCAAAGAAAAAGUUUUUUUACAGUAAGAGAAAUAGGGAUAUGGAAUUGUCUGCCUGAAGAGGUGGUUUUGUCAGAGUAUAUACAGAUGUUUAAACUGCAAUUGGAUAUACUUGCAAAAACAUAAAAUACAGGGAUAUAAUUUCUAAUUAGUGGGGUAAUAGCUGCUUGAUCCAAGGAGACAUCUGACUGCUAUUAUGGGGUCAAGAAGGAAUUUUUUCCUAGUUUGUUGCAAAAUUGGAAGCGCUUCAGACUAGGUUUUUUGCCUUCUUUUGGAUCAACAGCAAAAACAUUUGUGAGGAAGGCUGAACUUGAUGGACGCAAGUCUCUUUUCAGCUAUGUAACUAUAUAACUAUAUAGUCACCAGAGCAACUACAGCUUAUUGCAUCUGUUCUGGUGAGUAGAAUCAUUCCCUCCUGACUUUUUGCUGUAAACACUUUAUUUUCAGAGAAAAGACAGUGUUUACAUUACAGCUUGGUGAUAACUCCACUGGCAACUCCUCAAAUGGCUGCUAGAUGUGCUUACUUGCCUAAUGUGCAGCAAUGCCAUUUAGUGUCUCCACCCUCUGCAUGCAGACACUGAACUUUCCUCAUAGAGAUGCAUUAAUUCAUCUCUAUAAGGAGAUGAUGAUUGGCCAGGGCUGUUUUUGACUUGUGUUGGCUCUCUCCCUGAUCUGCCUCCUUCUCAGUCUUAGCAAAUCCUAUGGGGAAGCACUGUGAUUGGCUCAGACCACCACUUCUAAUUAUGUCAACAGACAGGGGCAGAGGUAGCAGGUGCAGACUUAAAUACAAGUAAGAUUUUAUAAAUAUUUAGAGUGGCAAGAUUUUACUAUAUUUAGAGUGGUAGAUGGUGUUUUUUUUUAACUCUAUAGGGUUAGAAAUAUAUAUUUGUGUUCCUGACCCUAUAGUGCUUCUUUAAGGGAGACCUGCUGAAUCUCACGGUAGCAACAAAUCUGGAACGUGAUCUGGCCUACUUAGACAACUGGGAGUGGGAGCUGGAGCACAACUACAGGCGACUGAUCGACUCUGUACAGCAGCAAAGUGUAUUCUUAGGUAGGGAAAGGGAGGUCAGUCUCCUCACUCCCCAGUGGCCGCAUGUGUUUAUGGUAGGGGAGGACAGUAGCCUCACUCCCCAAGAGCAGGAUGUGUUUUCGGUAGGGGAGGACAGCAGCCUCAUUCUCCAACAGCUCAAUGUGCUUAUGGGAGGGAAGUACAGUAUCCUUACUCCCCAGCUUCCAAAUAGCUUCCCUGUGAUAUAUUGACAGAUUUUAAGCUUAGAUUAGCCAAGUUUCCGAUAGAAUGUCAGAAAUUCAGGUUUUCCUCAAGCAACACACGUCUGCCUCGGGCAGUAGUUAAACCCUGCGUUUUGUUUGUUUUUUGUUUUUUAAAGGUAUGGUCAUGUAUAGUGUAUUGUUAAUAAGAAAGUUAAUUU